UCAGCAGGGAGGCAGGCAGUCUGCCAGGCCAUGGGGGACCCGUCAGGGCUCUCACAGGAGGUGGCUUGGCCAGGGUGUGUGGCUGGACAGAAGGGGGGCUGGCCUCCCCAAUCCUCCCCUUGCCUGAGCAGCCCCUGAGUAGCCCUGGCUGCCCCUGUGCCCACUGGCGGGCACUCCCAGGCUGUGGGCCCUGCGGCUGGAGCUAAAAUUAGACUCAGCGGCCCAUGUGGGCUCUCAGGGUCGGUUGGGGUCAAGGCCUGGGUGCAGCCGGUGCCCCCUGCCUGGGGGGCUGGGAGUGCUCUGGGUCCUAGUCCUCUCCCACCCCGCCGCUGUCCCCCACUCAGGCAGCUCGGCCCCUCCCCCCCACCCCUCUCAGCUGGUCCUGCACCCUCUGACUUGCAGCUAUCCCGGUGCCGACACCGGGGACCCUGCCCCACGCUCCUGUCCCAUGGCCCCCCAGCCCUGCCGGGCGUCUCGGUCUUCUCCCCCGUUCCCUCUCAGGGCAGCAUCUGGCCUGACUGGAUCUCUUUCCCAGCCUGGCUCCUCCCCUGCCAGCCCUGAUUCGUUCCUGCCUGGGAGGCAGGGUCUCCUCUUAACCCAUUCCAAACCAGUUUCCUCGAUGGUCAAUAAUCCUCACCAGCAGGACCCACACCUCACAGAUGCCUCGCGCUAUCACAGCUUCUGAACCCACACAUCAACGCUCCAAGGCUGAGGUUUAGCACUGCCAUUUUUCACAGGAUUAGCCCCACCUCAUCCAGCUGCAGCCUUUUCAGGCCCACUUCUGGCACCUCUCACUCAGGUGUCCAGGUAGGUCUGCCCUUGCCUGGAGCUCUGGCGGGAAGGUCUUGAUGCUCAUCCUCCAGUCCAUAUGAAGGCACCGUCUCUGAGGAAAUCAGGAUCCAGGCAAUCACAGGACGAGGGGGGCGGGGAGCAUGGGAGUGCACCGAGAGACACCUGCCCUAACGCUUGAAGGACACAGCACCGCUCGGACUCCAAGGAAGAAGUUGCCACAGGGCAGAGGCAGAAGCGGGGAGCCAUGUGGGCCCA
Long non-coding RNA from Neomonachus schauinslandi (Hawaiian monk seal), 1047 nucleotides. RefSeq lists it as uncharacterized. The transcript is spliced from 4 exons. NCBI's taxonomy places the organism in Eukaryota, Metazoa, Chordata, Mammalia, Carnivora, Phocidae. The record is from RefSeq and is a predicted model, not a curated record.